AUCUCACUUCCUGCUCCUCAGUUCUCACUCCCGCACUCGCACGCUCUCUCGUCUCUGGUUUGCUUCAAUGUUCUCGCAGUCCCGCCUUCUUUCUCUGAACCCUACAUUUUCCUCUACCUCUUCUCUUUCUUCAGAUUACUCCUCCUUUCCUUCUGUUCGUCUCAAAUUUCCUUCCACAAGAGUGAUGGCCUCCGGCUCCAAGCUUACCAACGGAGGCCACUCCCUCCCCAUCGGAAUCACUGAGCCUCAAAUCAAACGAUUCACUGACGUUGGGAACAAGGUGGCCGAUGCAGCUGGCCAAGUUAUUCGCAAGUAUUUCAGAAAGAAAUUCGAUAUUUUUGACAAAGAUGAUUCCAGUCCCGUGACAAUCGCGGAUAGAUCUGCUGAGGAGGCUAUGGUUUCCAUCAUUCUAGAGCAUUUUCCUUCUCACGCAAUUUAUGGAGAGGAAAAAGGGUGGUGUAAAGAAAGUAGUGCAGACUAUGUCUGGGUUUUGGAUCCUAUUGAUGGGACAAAAAGCUUUAUCACUGGGAAACCCUUAUUUGGCACCCUCAUUGCCCUUCUACUAAAUGGUAAACCUAUUCUUGGAAUAAUUGAUCAACCUGUAUUGAGAGAAAGAUGGAUUGGGAUAUCUGGAAAGAAAACUAUGCUGAACGGACAAGAAAUCUCCUCACGUACUUGUGCAAAUCUUUCUCAUGCGUACUUGUACACCACAAGUCCACAUCUAUUCGGUGGAGAUGCAGAGAAGGCAUUUAUCCGUGUUAGAAACAAGGUUAAAGUCCCGUUAUAUGGUUGUGACUGCUAUGCAUAUGCACUUCUGGCUUCUGGCUUUGUAGAUCUUGUUGUUGAGUCCGGUCUGAAGGUCAACUAAACAGUGACAUCUCCUAUGGUUGCUUGAUUGACUUUUGAAUCUCUUUAACACUUCUGGCUAAAAAACAAAACUUCUCUUUAAUAUCAUCAAGCUUAAUCAUAGUAUGAAAGUCUAGGUCAACUCGCCCAUUUAAAUCGGUAAACCGUUAAAUCAGUGUUUUGAUCGAUUUAAUAAAAUGCAUUGUUUGUGACCAGUUUGAUCACGGUUCAACUACAGUUUUGAUCUUUAACUCUUGAACCAAUGUCUUGACUGACUAAAUGACUAAUUCCAUUUUUACUUUUUAGCACCUUAAGCAUAACUGAGGAUGAUUGAAAAAUUGAACGGGUGCUGUGUGAUUAUUUGAAUGUCACUAUUUGAAGGCUAAUGUUAAGUACUCUGAGGAAAUAAACGAGUGAAGUUUAUGGAAACAAUGUAUGGAACCAAAGUUACAAUUUCAACGGUUCGCUUUUAUGGUCCUUAUGAUGUUAGAGGCCCUACGAUUUUCUUGCUUUGAUACCGGUUAUUGAAGGCGCUGGAGGUGUCAUAACUGAUUGGAAAGGCGGUGAACUCCAUUGGGAAGCUUCUCCAACUUCAUCUGCAAG
Molecule: RNA transcript, 1449 nt
Organism: Prosopis cineraria
Lineage: Eukaryota; Viridiplantae; Streptophyta; Magnoliopsida; Fabales; Fabaceae
Gene name: bifunctional phosphatase IMPL2, chloroplastic-like
Exons: 8
Source: RefSeq, a predicted model, not a curated record